This 6859-nucleotide long non-coding RNA is filed under the name Oryza sativa (Asian cultivated rice). Its description in RNAcentral is "long non-coding RNA (OSAT_LNC001476)". The record is from RNAcentral. Lineage: Eukaryota; Viridiplantae; Streptophyta; Magnoliopsida; Poales; Poaceae.
CCGUCCCCACCUCUCCUUCCCACUCCUCCCGUCCUCCCCAGGCCCCCACCUGCGCCGCGCUCGCGCCUGCUUCUCUCCGCUUUCUCCGCUUUCUCCUCACAUCGCACAUCUCCGCUUUCUUCUCCUCGCGCCGUGCCACAGCCGCUACCUUCUCCUCGCGGCGUGUCGCCGCCUUCUCCUCCUCGCGCUGUGCCACCGCCUUUUCCUGCUGAAUCGCCGCCGAUCUGCACAUCCUCGACUCCGACGAACCCUCAACUCAUGGUGGCGCCGCCUCCUCUCCGACAGGUGCUGUGGAGGUCACUCAUAGCUCCUAGAUCCAGCGCCGCAUCCCGUCGUCAAGGUCCUCAUGCCACCGGCGAAGCCCACCUCCACGUGUUGCUCGCGCCCCUUCAACUCCUCUUCGGUUAGCAUGCACUUUUGUGGGGUUUUUUUUUCGAUCUAAAAUUGUGGAUGGUCUGUGUUUUAUUCAUCUCAAGAAUCUCGGUCGAGACCGAGACCGAAAAAACCGAGACCGAAUUGUCCGGUCUUCAAUUUUAUCGAGGACCGAUCGGUCUUGACUUUCUGAUGACCGAAAUUUCAUCCAGGACCGAAGACCGAGACCGAAUUGCUCGGUCAGACCGAAUGCCCACCCCUACCUAUAGAUAUCAGAUCCGAUACAUGAGUAUUAAAUCCGAUACAUAUAGAUAUCAGAUCCAGGACCUGAGUAUUUGUCACACCCCAAUCCGGCACCGCCGCACAACGGCACCUGACAGGAGCGUGUCGUAGAAAAAACGGCGCGAACCGCUUCCUUACGAAACCGCGAUCUCGGUACCAGUCCCAGGACAUAGUGCUGGUACCCACGGUGACAAAUAUGAAUCAUAGCAAUCCUUAAAAUAAAUAGAGGACUUAUUUACCUUAACUUAGGUUGCAGCUCAGACAGCCCGAGAAUGCAACCGACGACACGGACGAGGCGAACACCAACAACAGCAGCAGCAGCGGAACCAACGGACUAACACCCAACACCACAGGCGACGGCUGGGAACCAGGACGAAACCCUAAUCUUCACUUCACUUUAUCUUCUCUUCAGGGCGGAGGAACUAUAUAUAUAUAUUUAUAUAGAGCAAGAGUGAGUACUUUCGUACUCAGCAAGUCACGGGAACUUAGGUGUUUGAUGCAAGCUUGGAGGAGAGGCAAGGUUGUUUUACAAAUCUUUUAUUUGAAGAUAUUUUGAAAUCACUAAGUGAUUUAUUUCUUUCUAUGUUUGGGCGAAAAGAGACUUGCGUCUCGAUUCGACUUUAUGAGAUGCUUUUCAACAGCUCAUUUAGUAACGUACCGACCUCCCGGGUCAGAUCAUUACUUCUCGGCUCCCAGAGCUUUUUUCAUUUUCUCGGACUCCCAGAGUCCAGCUGCCCAGCAGCACAACAAUCCGCUUCCACUCGGGAAGCCUAGUCUAUGAUGCCCGCAGACAUCCCGAAUCACACAGAUUCGUUUCUGACCACUCAGGUCAUCCAUCUGCCACAUAGGCUGAUUCUGGUUACGAUUCCCACACCACAACAACUUUUCACAAAGCACAGGCAAACAAAUCUACGCAACGGGAACCACCUCACAUCCGCCCAUGACCGUGGGCACGGCUGUUCGAACAGUUUGUUAACCUCUGCAGAGGGGUACACUUUACCCACAAGACACGAACUUACUCCAGACACUGGCCGGUGUCAGAGGUUCGCGACAAAGCCUUUCUCAAGCCGACCCAGGGAUACCUCAUGCCACAUAGAAGGAUCAAAUCCUCACAUAAACAUAGGCCAUUUUAGGCGUGCACAAAUCAAACUCCAACCACCUCGAUCGGUAAUCUGGCAAGCUUCGCGUUCUUGCCUUACCAGGAACCCGGUUUGGCUCCAACCGACCCCGCCCCGGCGUUCCCAACUAUUGGCAUGCGAGGUUUCCCUGAACCGACUAGCUACUUAGCCAGGGUGUCCCAUUCCACCUUGUGGUUGCACUUUGAUUAUGUUCGAUGAGUUUCCCACAGGAAUCGGUCCUUAUAUGCGAAUACGGGACAGUGCCACAUAGGCACAACCCCCGCAUCGCGAGUUUUCACAAUUCAUUUUAUUUUCAAACACACCGACACCACAUGUCGGGUUUUGAAGGCUUCACAAACCCAUUUCCCAAGUUUUCGACAAGCAAUGGUGUAUGUGGGAUAUUUGGUAUACGCGCUCAGAGAGCACGAAUACCGAGGUACCACAAGGGUGGAGCGACAAGGAAUCAGGGUAAUACGACCUACGGAAAUUAGUGCGACUACUGGGUAGGUCCGUCGGUUUGGCACGCAAACCGAGGCCAAGCAAGUUAAGUGUGUGAUUCUAAUAAUGCAAGUUACAAACAAAAUAAUAAUGAUUUUCCAAUUAUAGGAGCAAUUGGUCAAAGGGUGACUUGCCUUGCUCAAAGUCUUCACGAAGCUUCACGAAUCUUCAAGAAAACCCGCGAUCGACGAAAAUCCGGUAACCGCAACUAUACGCAAACAACUGAAAACCUAAGCAAAAGACCAAAAGAGGGAUCCUAUUUAGACUAAUUAGUAGUGCCAUUAAAUAGAUCUCAAUUUUACGGAAUUACUGGAAGUGGAACGGAGGCAAUCGGACGAACGGAUAGAGGGAUAUGAAUUUUGGAAGUUUAAAGGAAUUUUUCUGGACAAGGAGACGAUUUGUCGGAAUUUUCUGGAAUACGAGAGAUAGUUUAUGGAAUUUAUAGAAAUAAUAUUCUCAAGAAUAUUAUUGACAUCCACUGACAUACGGGCUCGAGGGGACGAAUUAUUGGAAUCUCCGGAUUAAGAGGAUGGGUUUAUGGAAUUUGGAAUAUAGGAAAUGAUUUAUUGAAUUUCUAGAAAAGAGAAAUAUGUGUGGAGUAUUGAAAAAGAUAUUCCCAAGAAUAUCUUUGACUCAUUGACACGUGGGGCCAAUAAGAAGGUGAGAGAGAGAGGAGCAAUUGGAGGGAGUAAUUGUGGACUUUUAGCUCUUGGGUGAUGGACACUGGGCUUGGACAAAGGGAGUGUAUGUGGACUUUGUUUGUCUUACUUAUCAGGCUGAGGAGGAGGGUGGCUACUGGGCCAAGCCCAAGAGCAAGAGAGAGGGGGCGGCUGCUGACUGGGCGUCGGCUGACUUGGUCAAGUGGGGCCGACGGCUGAGGUGGCGCCAACGUGGACGUCACGUCGGAUGGGGAAGGGAGAGGAGGCCGGGCGGCUCAUCGGACGGCUCACGGCGUGCGGCGGGAUCCGGCGAACGGCGGCAAGCCGGAGGGGCGGCUAGCACUGGCGGCAGGAGGAGGAGAAGGGGAACUCAUUCCACGGCUCGGAUCAGGAAGACGACGCGCGACGACGGCCGGCGGCGGCGGCCAAUCUCGCCGACACGCCAACGUGGCCGCACGCGAGAAGAGCGAAGGGCACGCGGGCUCGGGCUUCACCGAACCGGUAUGGGGUUGCGACGCGCACGCGGUGACGCGGGACCUGAUGGUCACCGGCGACGCACGCGCGGUGGCGUUAUGCGGCGGCGGAAGGGGCGACACGGCGCGGAGGCAAAGGAGAAGGCCGGUGGCCUAGGGACAGUCAGGGGGAGCUCAAGGGGAUCUCCGGGAGCGUGGCGGCGAGAGGAAUCGGCUCGAGAGGUGCCGACGGCGGUCGAUUGCGGCGGCGGCAAUCACCGGCGAGCAAAAGGGGAAAACACAACGAGACGACGAGGAUUCGAUUCAAAGGGGUGGGAGCAUCUCCGGGGUUCAAGGAAUCCGUUUCUGGUGUCGGAUGGGGCGGAGAAGCACUGAGGAGGGCCGGCGACGAGCAGCGGCCUCCGGGAGCGGACGGUAAUGGCGGUGAGGCCAUGCCGGGCGACGGCGGUGCUAGGGAAUGGUUUGGGGAGGUCCUAGGGAGCUCAAGGACGGUGUUGGCGAGGGUGGUCGACGAGCUGGGGCCCGACGACGGCGCGCGACUGCGCGCGGCGGCGGAAACAGAGCAACGGCGAGGCGCGCGGCGCAUCGUGCGGCAGGCUAUGGCGUGCGGCGGCGGGCGCGGCAUAGCGAGCGGUAGGAGGAAAGGGUUCGGCGGGGAGCUCACCGACAAGAGGAAGCGGCGUCGGCGGAUCGGAGGGAGUCGUGGUGAGGUGGUCGCGAUGGUGGGACGGAACGGCACCGGGUGGGCGCGGCCGGGGAGGAAGAGAGGAGAGGUGGCGCCCGGAGCUCCUCGUCACGCGCCCACGCACGCACCGGUUCCUCCGGUGCUCGGCGGCGGACGGCGACGACGAGAUCGAGUCGAGCGGCAACAGGGCGGCGACGGUUGUUCGGCUACAAUGGCGCGGUGGGGGGCGAAAACGAGAGAGAUGGAGGGGAGGGGCUCGGCUGUGGUUUUAUAGGCGCGGGAUGUGGAGCUUCGAGGGGAAGGAACCGAGCACGGGCGAUCAAGGAGAGGCGGUGGCGGACUCGCGGUCAAGUUGUGACAGAGGCGGUCACGGGUGGCAAAGGAGGUGACGGUGUGGAUGCGUUGGGCGGCGAAGGCGGUGGAUCGAGCGGCGGAAAAUCGAACCGCGGGAGCGGGAGGAUUAGCACGGGCUGGCGCGGUCAAGUUGGGGGUGGCGAGCUGGCGCUGGCGUCUGCGUCUCUGCCUCCGAGCGCUUGCGGCCAAGGAGUGGAGGCAUGGCGUCGUUGCUUGGGAGGGAAAAAGAGAGGGAGGACGGUGGAAAGGGGGGGCUUUACCAUGCCGGUUUGGGAAAAAGGAGGUGGGAGAGGGAGAGGAGAGCGCGUGAGGCAGAGAGACGUGCUGCCUCCACGUCUUGGACGCACGCGCGCACAGGGUGGGGGCGAGCGGCAGGGCGGCAUGGGCGGCCGUGCGGCGCAGGCGGCCAGGGCUGAUGCGGCGGCGACCGGGCGGUCUGCCACGCGCGGGCGAGCGCGGGAAAGAGCGAAGGCGGUGGCGGGUUUUGGGCGGCGACGGCGGGAAUCGGCGCCGGGAGGGGAGAGAGCAGAGAGAGAGAGCGAAGACGGGAGAGAGAAAGAACGAGAGAGCGAGAGAGCUCUCUCUCGGCUCACAUGCGUGCAACGCACGUGCGAGGGGGGUUAAGAUGAUGGGCUGGGAGGGGAGAUGGGCCGGGGGAGAAAACGGCCCACAAAAAAUCCGAGGGAGGCAAAAUAGACUUUUUCGGAGGGGAUUGAUUCGAAGAGAAUUUGAACUUGGAAUUUGACUUAGAUUUUGGAAUUGGGAUCUCGAUGAGAGGAAGGAGUAGACGGAGGAUUCAAGAUGGGGUUUUGGAUAUUUUGGAUCUGGGGAAGUAUUUGGCGAUGAUUCAAAGAGAGGGAUAGAAUUUCAGAGUUUGAUUUGGAGACUUGAGUCGGAAGAGGAAUUUCGAGGGGGCAAAUUUGUGAUGGUGACGAGAGGGAUCAAGGACGGAUUUGAAUUGAGAUCUUGGCACAACUUAGACUCGCACACAAAGAACGAAAAUUUUCGCAAUUAGGAUUUUUGCCGAAUUAGUUUUUAACGCCUCACGAAAAGCGGAGCGUUACAGAUUGGUGUAACAUCCCGGCCUAGGGAUUAAUAGGAUUAAUAGAAUACUCAUAUCAACAAGUUGCAACUUCUUUUCCGGAAGCCAAUCUCCAAAGAACUCCAGGGUUAAGCGUGCUUGGCCUGGAGCAAUUUGGGAUGGGUGACCGACCGGGAAAUUCUUUCCGGGUGCACACGAGUGAGGACAAAGUGUGCUUCCGGGUGCACACGAGUGAGGACAAAGUGUGCAGAAAAGACAUGUGUUGGUCUGUGAGGGCAGUCUAUGACCUAUGAAAGCUAUCAGAUGUAAGCGGGCCCGGCCUAGGGGAGGCGGGACGUUACAGUAUUAAACCCGAUACCUAUAGAUAUCAGAUCCGGUACCUGAGUAUCAAACCCGAUACCUAUAGAUAUAUGACUCAUAUGUACCAUACCUAGUAUUUGGGUAUCAUGUAUGAUACAAUCUAAUACCUGAGUAUUACGUAUGAUACAUACAUGUAUCUUGUAUGGUAUCUGGUACUUGCGAGGCAUAUAUAAAUCAGGCAUUGUGGGAGCCCAACGUGUACUAGUCAAUCUCAAUACCAGAUAUAAUAGUGUAUCAUCAAAUAUUAUCAAGACAAAAAAAUCUUUUUAUUUUUCACAAACCUUGCUCCGUGACUCGGGAGGCAUAUUGCUCUGCCAAGACAUCCGGCCAUGCCUACCCAAGCUCAAUUAAUACUCCCUCCGGGUUGAUAAUACUUGUCGUUUUGGACAAGGGUGAGGUCAAACUUUAGAAUCUUUGAUUAUGAAUCAUUUUCAAAAUAUUUGUCUUUCAAAUAUAGUGACUACAUGUAUAGAUUAGUCUUAAAAAGUACUUUAAUAAGAUCAUAUAUUUGUUAAUACUUUUUUACAUAUUAUGAUAGAAAAUAAUGGUCAAAGUUGUUUUUUUAAGACCUUGCCUUUAUCCAAAACGAUAAGUAUUAUCAACCCGGAGGGAGUAUAUCACAACUCAGAGUGCUCAACUCAGCAGCUCUCCUGAGACCUGGUCAUUGAGACUAAAUUAAUAUGCAGGUAGAAUGGUCCAAGCUGGUGCACUUGCACUAGUGGAAACACGGAAUAGCUCACUUUUGGUGUGGAGCGGCAUGUGCGACUUGGGUUCGGAAAUGGUAGUUGGGAGCGAUGGAGCGCUAGAUCGAUGCAGGGGAGGUGAUGUCAGUACUUAUCCUGUUGAAACAGAAUCCCGUUGUCUAGCCGUUUUUAUUUUUAAAGGGUUAAUUGGAUUCAUACCAUUACAAAUUUAUCUAUUAAAAAAAAUACCAUUACAAUUCAUUUAUCUAAGGUGAAGGCGUCAAAGUCCUCCUCCCGCUUCUUCUUCGCCUCCUCGGGCUCGUCGCGGCAGCG